Molecule: ribosomal RNA, 224 nt
Filed under: uncultured prokaryote
Description: partial 16S ribosomal RNA
Rfam family: Bacterial small subunit ribosomal RNA
Source: RNAcentral
UACGGGGGGGGUAAGCGUUGUUCGGAAUUACUGGGCGUAAAGGGUUUGUAGGUGGCUUGCUAAGUCAGACGUGAAAUCCCUCAGCUUAACUGGGGAACUGCGUCUGAUACUGGCGAGCUUGAGUGCAGGAGAGGAACGCGGAAUUCCAGGUGUAGCGGUGAAAUGCGUAGAUAUCGUGAGGAACACCAGAGGCGAAGGCGGCUACCUGGACAAUUACUGACGCU